Gnomoniopsis sp. IMI 355080 is the source of this 95-nucleotide non-coding RNA. NCBI's taxonomy places the organism in Eukaryota, Fungi, Ascomycota, Sordariomycetes, Diaporthales, Gnomoniaceae. The record is from the annotation of a GenBank genome assembly.
UCCCUCGUGGCGCAAUUGGCAAGCGCGUUCGACUGUUAUCUGAGAUUAGUCAGCACGACAUCGAGAGGUUGAUGGUUCGAGCCCAUCCGAGGGAG